AAGGCCCCCCCUCACCUCAGCUGUGAGGCAGCAAUGGGCAGGGCAGGACGUGGGUAUGGCUGGUCAGUGUGAUGGGACAGCCCUGGGUCCCUGGGAGAGAGCAGAAAUAGGCAUGGGGAAAGGCUGCGGUCCCUGAGACUGUCCGUCAGCAAAUGGACCAACACUACUUGCAAGGAAACAUAUGGGUCACUGUGGGAUCCAGCACUAUGACCCUGUGACUGCAGGGCUGUGGUCGGAUGCUGAAAUAUGCUGAUUGCACUGAAGUUUCUGAAAAUAUGGAGAGAGUAUGUGCUGAACUGGGACUCUGCUGAAGGCAGAGACAUCCUGCCAAAGUGGUGGUGUGACCAGGCAGGAGGGGUAAGGCUGUCUGAUCUCCUUGUCCUUGGUACUGGUGCAUGGAGUGGAGAUCUCAGAGCAUGUUGGCUUGGAGAUGGUGCUGAGAGGAAGAGGACAGGAGGAGAUGAAGAGCCAUCAGCUUGGCUAGGGGAGGCAUGGGGAAGUUCCUGGCUUGCAGCAGGGAACAGCUCACAGCCCAGAUGAGGAGCUGACAGACAGGGAAGGACCCACAAAUAACUUAUUUCAACUCAGGACAUCAGGUAUAAUUUGAAAGGAAGAUUUGUGUUUGUGACUAUAGUUAAUUUCACUAGUCUUGUUCCAGUUUAUUAUUUUUGUGUUCUAAUAAAAUGCAGCCUCAGCUAUUAGGAGCCUUUGGUAUUCCUUGCUACAUUUAUUUAAAACAACAAUAAUGAUAACAAACAAACAGGAACACAAAGGUUUCAGCCCUGGGCUCUGGGAUUGCUGCUGCCUGCUGUGACAAGUGCCCACAUUCAUCCUGGUGCUUAGUAACGAGCAGUGAGUGUGGGGUUGGAGUUAUAUUAGUGAUUAGUUUAUGCCAGCAUAAACUAAUGCUUUAUUCUAGUACCCUCUAUGCAAACUUUGAGGUAUAUGUGUUCAGGCAGAUUUUUUUCCAAGGAAAGACAUCAGUAUUCCCCUUGUCCAAAUGCACUCCUCAGUAAGGAAAGAAGAUGACUCUCUGUCCCAGGGGUGCAUUAACUAUGGCACUCCUGACAUAUCGUCCCUGGAUCUCGCAGGCUUAGCUGGUCAACACACAACCCACACAGAAGAUCCUGGCUUUGUGUAAA
Molecule: long non-coding RNA, 1142 nt
Organism: Oxyura jamaicensis (ruddy duck)
Lineage: Eukaryota; Metazoa; Chordata; Aves; Anseriformes; Anatidae
Exons: 4
Source: RefSeq, a predicted model, not a curated record